This 253-nucleotide ribosomal RNA is filed under the name uncultured bacterium. RNAcentral's name for it is "partial 16S ribosomal RNA". It matches the Rfam family "Bacterial small subunit ribosomal RNA", at positions 524 to 776 of the family's 1533-position model. The record is from RNAcentral.
UACGUAGGGGGCAAGCGUUGUCCGGAUUUACUGGGCGUAAAGAGCGUGUAGGCGGCCACGCAGGUCCGUUGUGAAAACUGGAGGCUCAACCUCCAGCUGUCGACGGAAACCGUGUGGCUAGAGUCCGGAAGAGGAGAGUGGAAUUCCUGGUGUAGCGGUGAAAUGCGCAGAUAUCAGGAAGAACACCAAUGGCGAAGGCAGCUCUCUGGGACGUUACUGACGCUGAGACGCGAAAGCGUGGGGAGCAAACAGG